This 187-nucleotide non-coding RNA is filed under the name uncultured Veillonella sp. The record is from RNAcentral. Lineage: Bacteria; Bacillati; Bacillota; Negativicutes; Veillonellales; Veillonellaceae.
AGGUGUAGUAAUACUUAAUAGAGAAGUUCAGUAAACGCUGACGCGGUCCCGCCGCUGUAUGAGGGAGUGCCAUCAAAUGCCACUGGAAUCAUGACUACUAACCACAGCUAACCAAUUGCUAGGUUCCAAGUCUCUGGGAAGGUGAUGAUCACGACGAACUCGAGCCAGAAGAACUGCCUAAAAUGGA